RNAcentral lists this ribosomal RNA (110 nucleotides) under uncultured bacterium. RNAcentral describes it as "partial 16S ribosomal RNA". It matches the Rfam family "Bacterial small subunit ribosomal RNA", at positions 1353 to 1482 of the family's 1533-position model. The record is from RNAcentral.
CACACUACCGUGAAUACGUACCCGGGUCUUGUACACACCGCCCGUCAAGCCACGAAGUUGGGGGCACCCGAAGUCCUUUUUGGCCUAAGGUGAAUCCGAUGAUUGGGGUU